RNAcentral lists this long non-coding RNA (1091 nucleotides) under Gopherus agassizii (Agassiz's desert tortoise). Its description in RNAcentral is "lncRNA (ENSGAGG00000007996.1)". The record is from RNAcentral. Lineage: Eukaryota; Metazoa; Chordata; Testudines; Testudinidae.
CUCUCCCAGCGUGAUUACAUGUAGUGCAUCAGUUGCACUUGAUUUGAAUUUUCAGGGCAGUCUAUGCAACCCUACCAGCAGGAGCUCUAUAUAAAAUUGAAGCUUAGAUGCUAGAGAAUGAGAAGGCAGCAAAAAGGAGGGGCCCUAGUGGAAGACUGUCCUGGCUAACUCCAAGCCCUGGCUGGGAGACAGUCCUGACACUCACUCCUUAAAUGACCUUUGUCCCAUCCGGCACCUUUGCAGAGAGCUCAGGGCUCCUGGCCGAUACCGCAGGCAGUUACUGGCGAGCUCUCCCUGCGAGCAGCCCUUCCCUUCGGCUCCGCUCCACCGGGACAAGCCCGGGCGCUGCUCGCUCCGCCCUGCCAAGGGUGUGCACGGCGCGGUGCAGCCGAGGGGCAGGUGGAGCAGUCCCCGCAGUCCGUAGCGGGGAGCUGCGGCUCCGGCCGAGCAGGUACAUAUGAAGCAAUUCGAGAAAUGAGAACCUAUGCCAUAUUUUUCAACAUAAAUGGCAAACCUUGCAAUAUGAAUGGAAAGCAAAUGAAAUGCAAAGAAGGAAAGACAGAAAAACAGCUGACCCUGUCACUGAAGGCAGAAUAAGGCCACUUGGUGUGUCUGACUCUUUUUUUUAAUAUCACUUCAAUCCAAUUGCUCAAAGAAUGUGAAAUAAUGAACAUAUUAGCAAGUAUAAUGUUGAUUGGUGCCCAUCAUAAAAUGAAAAUGGUCGAUUCUUGAUCUGAUUUAACAUCCAUUAAGAAGAGUCAAACUGUUGCUGAAAUAAUAUCGUAUCAAGUAGUGUUUCAGGUUGGCCAUCCCAGAAAUGAAACUGAACCUGUUCAAUAAGAUACAGGAUAGUGUGUUCUUAAAAUCUGUCCAGUAAAUCUUUCUCUCAGGAAAGGUAAGGGAAAAAAAAUCACAGUGGAAAUAUAAAUGUAAUGUAACAAGUCAAUCAGAACAUUUCUUCGCAUAACACCUCAUCUGUUCACAAAAGUAAUUUCAUGUUUUUCGGUGAAAUUUCAAAUAACUGCACUCUGAACUUAUCUGCAAUUAAUUUAUCUGAUGGAUUAAUAGAAAAGAAAAAUAUAGUAAGAAAU